Molecule: ribosomal RNA, 468 nt
Filed under: uncultured bacterium
Lineage: Bacteria
Description: partial 16S ribosomal RNA
Rfam family: Bacterial small subunit ribosomal RNA
Source: RNAcentral
GACGAACGCUGGCGGCGUGCUUAACACAUGCAAGUCGAACGGAAAGGCCCUGCUUUUGUGGGGUGCUCGAGUGGCGAACGGGUGAGUAACACGUGAGUAACCUGCCCUUGACUUUGGGAUAACUUCAGGAAACUGGGGCUAAUACCGGAUAGGAGCUCCUGCUGCAUGGUGGGGGUUGGAAAGUUUCGGCGGUUGGGGAUGGACUCGCGGCUUAUCAGCUUGUUGGUGGGGUAGUGGCUUACCAAGGCUUUGACGGGUAGCCGGCCUGAGAGGGUGAGCGGCCACAUUGGGACUGAGAUACGGCCCAGACUCCUACGGGAGGCAGCAGUGGGGAAUAUUGCACAAUGGGCGGAAGCCUGAUGCAGCAACGCCGCGUGCGGGAUGACGGCCUUCGGGUUGUAAAACGCUUUCGCCUGUGACGAAGCGUGAGUGACGGUAAUGGGUAAAGAAGCACCGGCUAACUACGUG